This 253-nucleotide ribosomal RNA is filed under the name uncultured bacterium. Its description in RNAcentral is "partial 16S ribosomal RNA". It matches the Rfam family "Bacterial small subunit ribosomal RNA", at positions 524 to 776 of the family's 1533-position model. The record is from RNAcentral.
UACGUAGGUGGCGAGCGUUGUCCGGAUUUAUUGGGCGUAAAGCGCGCGUAGGUGGCCAUGUAAGUCCGCUGUGAAAGUCAAAGGCUCAACCUUUGAAAGCCGGUGGAUACUGCAUGGCUAGAGUACGGAAGAGGCGAGUGGAAUUCCUGGUGUAGCGGUGGAAUGCGCAGAUAUCAGGAGGAACACCAAUAGCGAAGGCAGCUCGCUGGGACGUUACUGACACUGAGGCGCGAAAGCGUGGGGAGCGAACAGG